GAACGAACGCUGGCGGCGCGCCUAAUACAUGCAAGUCGAGCGAGAAGACGUAGCAAUACGUUUGUAAAGCGGCGAACGGGUGAGGAAUACAUGGGUAACCUACCCUCGAGUGGGGAAUAACUAGCCGAAAGGUUAGCUAAUACCGCGUACGCUCCUUGGACUUCGGUUCAGGGAGGAAAGCGAUACCGUGGGUAUCGCGCUCUUGGAUGGGCUCAUGUCCUAUCAGCUUGUUGGUGAGGUAACGGCUCACCAAGGCUUCGACGGGUAGCUGGUCUGAGAGGACAAUCAGCCACACUGGCACUGCGACACGGGCCAGACUCCUACGGGAGGCAGCAGUAAGGAAUAUUGCGCAAU
RNAcentral lists this ribosomal RNA (354 nucleotides) under uncultured bacterium. RNAcentral describes it as "bacterial SSU rRNA". It matches the Rfam family "Bacterial small subunit ribosomal RNA", at positions 27 to 372 of the family's 1533-position model. The record is from RNAcentral.